RNAcentral lists this ribosomal RNA (277 nucleotides) under uncultured bacterium. Its description in RNAcentral is "partial 16S ribosomal RNA". It matches the Rfam family "Bacterial small subunit ribosomal RNA", at positions 29 to 289 of the family's 1533-position model. The record is from RNAcentral.
ACGAACGCUGGCGGCGCGCCUAACACAUGCAAGUCAAGCGAUGAACAUUCAUUGAUCCCUUCGGGGUGAUUUGAAUCGGAUUAGCGGCGAACGGGUGAGUAACGCGUGAGGAACCUGCCUCUCACAACGGGAUAGCCUCGGGAAACCGGGAUUAAUACCGUAUGACACCAUUUUCCGGCAUCUUGAAAUGGUUAAAGUGCUAGCGGUGAGAGAUGGCCUCGCGUCUGAUUAGUUAGUUGGUGGGGUAACGGCCUACCAAGACGACGAUCAGUAACCG